This 709-nucleotide unclassified non-coding RNA is filed under the name Hevea brasiliensis (rubber tree). Lineage: Eukaryota; Viridiplantae; Streptophyta; Magnoliopsida; Malpighiales; Euphorbiaceae. The record is from RNAcentral.
UAAGACCCACACGAUAGUGAAAAAGUAUUGAGCUCCUGAAUUCGGUGGUAAUAUGGUUUCGUUUUAAGCGGUAGUUAGAACUUGGGAGUCUACUGAUUUCAGCACUUCCUCACCCAUUUCUUUGCAUCCCACCAAUUUAGUUCCAGCAGAGUAAAUAUCACCCGUCCGAAACCCCUUAUUCAGGGUUUCCAAAACUGCAUUCUCAAUUCUCUUUGCAGCUUUUUCUUCCCCUAGACCAUAUUUCAAAAGCAUUGCAGCACUUAGCACUGUUGCCAAUGGAUUGGCCUUAUCCUGUCCAGCAAUGUCAGGAGCAGAACCAUGUAUUGGUUCAAAAAGUCCAGGUCCCGAUGCACCAAGACUAGCCGAUGGCAACAUCCCUAUACUUCCAGUAAUCAUUGAUGCCUCAUCAGAUAGAAUAUCACCAAAUAUGUUGUUUGUCACAAUUGUAUCAAACUGUUUUGGAUUGCGAACAAGCUGCAUUGCGGCAUUGUCAACAUACAUGUGUAAGAGCUCAAUAUCAGGAUAUUCUGCUGCGAUGGCCAUUACUCUUUUCCUCCAAAACAUUGAUGCCUCCAAGACAUUUGCUUUGUCAACAGAGCAGAGUUUUCCAUGUCGCUUCCUAGCAGUCUCGAAUGCAACACGAGCAAUGCGAUCAACCUCAUACUUAGCAUACACCUCGGUAUUGAAGCCAAUCUCUUCACCAGAUUCA